UGGGGAAUAUUGGACAAUGGGCGCAAGCCUGAUCCAGCAAUGCCGCGUGAGUGAUGAAGGCCUUAGGGUUGUAAAGCUCUUUCGCACGCGACGAUGAUGACGGUAGCGUGAGAAGAAGCCUCGGCUAACUUCGUGCCAGCAGCCGCGGUAAUACGAAGGGGGCUAGCGUUGUUCGGAAUUACUGGGCGUAAAGGGCGCGUAGGCGGCCUGUUUAGUCAGAAGUGAAAGCCCCGGGCUCAACCUGGGAAUAGCUUUUGAUACUGGCAGGCUUGAGUUCCGGAGAGGAUGGUGGAAUUCCCAGUGUAGAGGUGAAAUUCGUAGAUAUUGGGAAGAACACCAGUGGCGAAGGCGGCCAUCUGGACGGACACUGACGCUGAGGCGCGAAAGCGUGGGGAGCAAACA
RNAcentral lists this ribosomal RNA (402 nucleotides) under uncultured bacterium. Its description in RNAcentral is "bacterial SSU rRNA". It matches the Rfam family "Bacterial small subunit ribosomal RNA", at positions 355 to 774 of the family's 1533-position model. The record is from RNAcentral.